AAUGAACGCUGGCGGCGUGCCUAACACAUGCAAGUCGAACGAGAAAACGGGCUUCGGCUCGUGAGUAAAGUGGCAGACGGGUGAGUAACACGUGGGUAACCUGCCCGGAGGUGGGGGACAACCAUCCGAAAGGAUGGCUAAUACCGCAUAAUAUCGCGGAUUCCUCGGAAUCUGCGAUCAAAGCUUGCCUCUGCAAGCAAGCUAGCGCCACCGGAGGGGCCCGCGUCCCAUUAGCUAGUUGGUGAGGUAACGGCUCACCAAGGCGACGAUGGGUAGCCGGCCUGAGAGGGUGAUCGGCCACACUGGAACUGAGACACGGUCCAGACUCCUACGGGAGGCAG
Molecule: ribosomal RNA, 341 nt
Filed under: uncultured Acidobacteriota bacterium
Lineage: Bacteria; Pseudomonadati; Acidobacteriota
Description: bacterial SSU rRNA
Rfam family: Bacterial small subunit ribosomal RNA
Source: RNAcentral